Molecule: ribosomal RNA, 253 nt
Filed under: uncultured bacterium
Lineage: Bacteria
Description: partial 16S ribosomal RNA
Rfam family: Bacterial small subunit ribosomal RNA
Source: RNAcentral
UACGUAGGGGGCAAGCGUUGUCCGGAAUCAUUGGGCGUAAAGCGCGUGUAGGCGGCCCGGUAAGUCCGCUGUGAAAGUCGGGGGCUCAACCCUCGAAUGCCGGUGGAUACUGUCGGGCUAGAGUGCGGAAGAGGCGAGUGGAAUUCCUGGUGUAGCGGUGAAAUGCGCAGAUAUCAGGAGGAACACCAGUUGCGAAGGCGGUUCGCUGGGCCGUGACUGACGCUGAGGCGCGAAAGCGUGGGGAGCAAACAGG